CCAAUAGCGUAUAUUAAAGUUGUUGCAGUUAAAAAGCUCGUAGUUGAAUUUCGGGAUUGACGUGAUGGUCAUGCCUUAAGGGGUAUGAACUGUUACUGUUGAUUUCUCACCUUCUGGAGAAACUUGAUGUCCUUUAUUGGGUGUCUUGCGGAUCCAGGACCUUUACCUUGAAAAAAUUAGAGUGUUUAAAGCAGGCAUUUUUGCUCGAAUACAUUAGCAUGGAAUAAUAGAAUAGGACGGCAUGGUUCUAUUUUGUUGGUUUCUAGGAUCACCGUAAUGAUUAAUAGGGAUAGUUGGGGGCAUUAGUAUUCAAUUGUCAGAGGUGAAAUUCUUGGAUUUAUUGAAGACUAACUACUGCGAAAGCAUUUGCCAAGGAUGUUUUCAUUAAUCAAGAACGAAAGUUAGGGGAUCGAAGACGAUCAGAUACCGUCGUAGUCUUAACCAUAAACUAUGCCGACUAGGGAUCGGAUGAUGUUAAUUUUUUAAUGACUCAUUCGGCGCCUUACG
This 507-nucleotide unclassified non-coding RNA is filed under the name uncultured Entrophospora. RNAcentral describes it as "SSU rRNA". It matches the Rfam family "Eukaryotic small subunit ribosomal RNA", at positions 591 to 1092 of the family's 1831-position model. The record is from RNAcentral. Lineage: Eukaryota; Fungi; Glomeromycota; Glomeromycetes; Entrophosporales; Entrophosporaceae.